GUUGGUUGAAAAUCACCCCCGGCUUUGGCCGUGGCCGCGGGUGAGAUUCGGCGCCUAGAUCCUCCGGGGGCCUCAGCUCACCACGCGCUGCUCUGUGUGCGGCGGUGAAACCCAGGCCCCGACAGGC
RNAcentral lists this small nucleolar RNA (127 nucleotides) under Saimiri boliviensis boliviensis (Bolivian squirrel monkey). Its description in RNAcentral is "Small nucleolar RNA ACA64 (ENSSBOG00000005933.1)". It matches the Rfam family "Small nucleolar RNA ACA64". Lineage: Eukaryota; Metazoa; Chordata; Mammalia; Primates; Cebidae. The record is from Rfam by way of RNAcentral.